GCAAAGGCCGCACAGCGCCUUUGGGAAUAAAAACAGCCCCACAAUAGCACAGCCCCUCCACCAUAACUCUCAUUAGGUAUGGGGAUUUUUUCAGUA
Alosa sapidissima (American shad) is the source of this 96-nucleotide long non-coding RNA. RefSeq lists it as uncharacterized. NCBI's taxonomy places the organism in Eukaryota, Metazoa, Chordata, Actinopteri, Clupeiformes, Clupeidae. The record is from RefSeq and is a predicted model, not a curated record. The transcript has 3 exons.